UACAGAGGUCCCAAGCGUUGUUCGGAUUCAUUGGGCGUAAAGGGUGCGUAGGUGGCGCCGUAAGUCAGGUGUGAAAUCUCGGGGCUUAACUCCGAAACUGCAUUUGAUACUGCGGUGCUUGAGGACUGGAGAGGAGACUGGAAUUUACGGUGUAGCAGUGAAAUGCGUAGAGAUCGUAAGGAAGACCAGUGGCGAAGGCGGGUCUCUGGACAGUUCCUGACACUGAGGCACGAAGGCCAGGGGAGCAAACGGG
Molecule: ribosomal RNA, 253 nt
Filed under: uncultured bacterium
Lineage: Bacteria
Description: partial 16S ribosomal RNA
Rfam family: Bacterial small subunit ribosomal RNA
Source: RNAcentral